Molecule: ribosomal RNA, 482 nt
Filed under: uncultured bacterium
Lineage: Bacteria
Description: partial 16S ribosomal RNA
Rfam family: Bacterial small subunit ribosomal RNA
Source: RNAcentral
AUUGAACGCUGGCGGCAUGCUUUACACAUGCAAGUCGAACGGUAACAGGCCGCAAGGUGCUGACGAGUGGCGCACGGGUGAGUAAUGCAUCGGAACGUGCCCAGUCGUGGGGGAUAACUACUCGAAAGAGUGGCUAAUACCGCAUACGAUCUAUGGAUGAAAGCGGGGGACCGUAAGGCCUCGCGCGAUUGGAGCGGCCGAUGUCAGAUUAGGUAGUUGGUGGGGUAAAGGCUCACCAAGCCAACGAUCUGUAGCUGGUCUGAGAGGACGACCAGCCACACUGGGACUGAGACACGGCCCAGACUCCUACGGGAGGCAGCAGUGGGGAAUUUUGGACAAUGGGCGCAAGCCUGAUCCAGCAAUGCCGCGUGCAGGAAGAAGGCCUUCGGGUUGUAAACUGCUUUUGUACGGAACGAAACGGCUCUGGUUAAUACCCGGGGCUAAUGACGGUACCGUAAGAAUAAGCACCGGCUAACUACGUG